This 257-nucleotide unclassified non-coding RNA is filed under the name Hevea brasiliensis (rubber tree). Lineage: Eukaryota; Viridiplantae; Streptophyta; Magnoliopsida; Malpighiales; Euphorbiaceae. The record is from RNAcentral.
GGGGCUCAGCACUGAACAAAUAGAAAAAAUCACAAUUUCUAGUAAAUCGAAUGUGUUUAGAAAUGUUGAGCAAAAUGACAUCCAAAAAUUUGUUCUCUCUCCUUUCAUUUACCACAAAAUUAAAGCCAAAACAAAUCAACAAUAACCAUAGCUAUAAAACAUAAUUUUUCGUGGAAGAUUUCCACUGUUGUUUGUACAAUGGAAAUUGGUGGUGAUUUUGUAAAACUUCUCAAUUUGAAUGGCAAUUUUUCUCUCUC